CAAAGAUUUCCCUUCUGCGAUAAUCAGCGGCUGUAAGGAAGAGAGUGCAGGGCCUUCUGCUCUCUGUCUUGCAGGAAGCCUGCCCAGUCUCAAGCAUGGUUGCAUUCACCUGCAUACAUGGAGGGUAAGGGAGACGCAUGUUUCCUGCUGCAGCCCCAUUGCCAAGGGACCCAAAAGAUUCUCCUCCUAGUGAAGAACCCUCUUUACACCCUAACCUGCAAUAAAAGCCAGCGGAGCAGCCUGAACAGAAAGAAGUAGCCUCCAAAGGACCAGCCGCCUGCACUGCAAAAACCCCAGGGCAAUGCUGUGCAACAGAUGCUACAAUCCAGACAUAAUUAAUGUGCGACUGUGGGUGAUGGAGUGCAUGAAGGGAAACAGCAGGGGAAUGCUAUCGAACAAGGGCAACAGUCUGGCCCACUUGUAGCCUGCUUUCCCCCUGCCCCCCCAAUUAAGAUGAAACUAUGCGCACGCGACCUUGGGGUGGCGGGUAUUGGCACAGAGAGGCAGGGAGGGCAGAGCAGACUGCAUACUACAGCUGCUGCUCUUGCCGGGGCUUGUAAUACCCAGCAGAAGCUGGGAAACAUUUAUUCCCCUUUGGAUAUCAGCAAUGAUUUUGCCUUUUUGGAACCAAGCAUGAAAGACUGCAGCUUUCCAGCUCUGCUGCCUGCUUGCGUCCUGGGUGGAUGGGGUGCAGCAGUUUGCUUCCGUGCUAGGGUUGGCAGGAGAUUAUGAGAGUCGUUACUGAGACAGGCCUCCCAGUGAUAUCAAACACUGGCAAAUGGGCUCCUUUCAGACAGCAGCUGCCAGGAGUUAAUUAAAUCAGUGGUUGCUGUACCCACGGGGCAUGUCCAGGGUUCAUCUCUGCUGUAAGCUUUUGGGGCAGGGACCGGAAGCUGUUUUCUGUAUAAAAACAAAAUCAUUCUUAAGACCCAGAAGAGAGCCUUAAAAUCCUCAUCUCCAGGAUAACUCAGGCCCCCAAACCUUCAUCCAGUUUCCCCCUAUCUGGAGCUCCACAGCUUGUUCAUCAAUAGCUUAUCUUCCCAGGCAGACAUAUAAAUGCUGAUUGCAAGAUACCAGGAGAUGGAAAAUCCAUCCCAGCCUCAGCCAUCUGUUCCGAUAAUAAAUCGUCCUCCCUGAUAAAAACGCA
This is a long non-coding RNA of Gavialis gangeticus (Gharial), 1147 nucleotides long. RefSeq lists it as uncharacterized. The transcript is spliced from 2 exons. The record is from RefSeq and is a predicted model, not a curated record. NCBI's taxonomy places the organism in Eukaryota, Metazoa, Chordata, Crocodylia, Gavialidae.